UGUAGUUUCGGUAGGUUUAGA
This 21-nucleotide non-coding RNA is filed under the name Caenorhabditis elegans. Lineage: Eukaryota; Metazoa; Nematoda; Chromadorea; Rhabditida; Rhabditidae. The record is from RNAcentral.